Alexandromys fortis (reed vole) is the source of this 4296-nucleotide long non-coding RNA. RefSeq lists it as uncharacterized. The transcript is spliced from 3 exons. The record is from RefSeq and is a predicted model, not a curated record. Lineage: Eukaryota; Metazoa; Chordata; Mammalia; Rodentia; Cricetidae.
CAGCCCGCCUCGCCGAUUGGCCGGCCUGGCUCCGGCGCGCUUGGCCAAUCAAAAGGGGCGAUGGAGAAGCGGGGGCGGAAGCGCAAAAGGAAAGGGGAAGGGAGAGUCUGGGACAGGAAAGGCUCGGGGCGGAGGGGCCGGGGGCGGGGAGGAGCCUCGCGCGGAGGGAGAAACCCGAGGAAGCCGGGAGAGGCGGGGCCGGCAGGGGGCGGGGUCGCCAGGGUCCAGCCGUCCCGUUUGUGCGGUUCGUGGUCGGGGUGGCCUUGGAUGUUGGGAUUCUGGACUCCGUUCUUUUCUCGUCCGGUGUUACUUGAGCGCUUCAUUCACUCUGGAAAGCAAAGAGCCUCCUGGGUGCUAGGAUUACAGCCAUACCACCAUGCCUGGCCAAGGCAGUCUUCUAAACGUCAGUUGUUACAGAGUCUCUCAGAAGAGUAGAAAAACAGCCAGUUGCCUGGUAAAGGUUUUCACAAGAAUGGGUGACUUCCAUAGCAUCAGUGAAGACAGACUGGUGUCCUGAAGCGGGUUGCUGCCUUGGAUAAUCCCACGUAAGUAUGACGUUAGCUUAAGGCGUUUGCUAGUUUUUGUGCCUAUGAACAUAGACUACAUGUGCAUAGGGCACUCUGUAUACAUGUAUAAUUGUCAAAUAAAAAUUAAAAACAACACAAGACUGAACACUUUCAAGGCACAUAAAUUAUUCUUGAAAUACACACCUCAUAGGAUUUACCGGCAUUCUAUUUUUAGUAUGUUACACAAAACCCUCAAGUCCCUUGGAGACCUUCUCCAGUGGAGUUUCCAUGGAUUCUCCAGAUGCUUUCAGAGUCAAAGGGCUCCUGAUGUUCCGGAUAAGCUUGGUCCCUGCAGAUCACCUGUGACAGGCUUCAGAAGAAUUUUUGUUCAAUCGUUUGAUUUUUUUUUUUCUCACUCCAUCACACUAUUAAGUGCUGGAAAACUCCCUCCUUUCACCCACACACUUAUUCUAACACUCAUUAGGACCUGCCAAAGGUUGCUCACCAUGCAACUGGAAAUACAAAGCUGGGAAGUGUUAGACCAUCUUUUGUAGAACCAAUAAAUAUGAGAAUGUCUUGUACUUCUGUCUUCUGACUACAGUCUCGAGAUCUGUCUGUUCAAACCUUGGUGUUCUCUGUGGCAGAACGUAUGCCUACUAUACUGAUCCCAAAUUAGACUUCCCAGGUUUCAGUUCUACCUAGAAAUAGAGUAUCAGAGGAAAUAUUUACUUUCAAUCAAAGUCCUUGGAAGGCAGAUAGAUACAGGCAGGUCUUUGUGAGUUCAAGACCAGCCAUUUCUAUAUAGUGAAUCCCAGGUCAACCAAGAUUAUAUUGUGAGACCCAUGGGGGGCGUGGUAUUUAAAUUUGCCAUUUUUACACUUUUAAGUGUGAAAAUCCCCUGUGGGUUAUCAGAACGUGCUUUCAGUGGUGUUGGAGAUUGACCCUAGGGCUUUUAUCCAUGCUAGAUAAGCACUGUCAACUGGCCUAUAUACCCAGACCUCUUUUCAUUGUUUGUUUCAUUUGGUUUUGUUUUUGAGACAGCCUCGCACUGUAGCCCAGAUUCAUGAUCCUCCUGUCUCGGCAUCUGAAAUGCUGGAUUUACCAAACCCAACUCUUUGAAGAGCCACCCAUCUCGGACUCCUUCAUUCCUGGCCGUUCUCUCGCAGGCACUCUUAUGAAGUGAUCAGAGGGCAAACUGGCAGAUGACUAAUUUCACCACCACCCCCAUUUGCUACAUUUUUGUAGGAACAAUUUAAAUAGACUGUGUAUUUCCCAUAUUACAAAAUAGAUAGCCUUAAAAAAUAAACAAAAAAAAAGAAAAGAAAAAAAUAUAUAGCCUUUGUCACAGUCCCUAAAAUAAGACAGCAGAAGGAGAUGGAAAGAGAUCACAUAUAGAUUCCGACCCACCCCAUAUGCAACCACUUAGUUUAAUGUACUAUAAUGUAUAUGCACUAUAAUGUAUUGGGUGCUGUGUAGUGUGAUAUGUAAUAAUAUGGAAUAUGGCAUAGCAUGAAUUUGUGUGUAUGCUCUGGGUUGGCUUUAUGCACAUGUGGCUGAUACACUUAUGUAAAGCCCAUGCUUAGUUUAAUGUUUACUGUCACCAUCUUGAAAUUCGUAGUUUUUGAGCAAGGGCUCCACGUCUUCAUUUCAUACUGGUUCUUGCAAAUUGCCUUGUCUGCCUGGUCUGGUGUAGUGUAUAAUCUUUUAAAAUUAUCACAACUUUUUUCCAUGCACUGCUUCAAUUUUUAAAGGAAACGCCUAUAUAGUGUUUCUAUUUUAAAUGUAAAUAAGCACUAUAAAUGCAAAUAGGAUCAUCUUGUGUAGCAUUUUGCAAUCUGCGUUUUCAUUUUGUGACAUUUCUUCCUAUCAGUGUAUUUCAUAGUCUUCAGCGGCGAAAGAAUGCCCUGGUAUGUGGAUAAGCCAUAAUUUGUUUAAUCAACCUAGCAGUCUCCUACUGGCACUCCUGUGGUAAUUUGUUAUGACCUAGAGCAAGCACACUUUAGUGUGUGUUGAGUACUUACCUCACUAACUCCCUAGGGUAAAUUUCUAGGACUUUCUGAGUCAAAGGAUAUGGCUGUUUUAGGGUGUGAAACACACAACCUGAUCGUCCUUCAGAAAGUUUACACAAGGUCAGACCACUCCAGUUCCACCAGCUCUGCACAGUCAGGAUUGUUGCCCUGCACGCUAACUGGCCACAGUAACUCAGCUUCAACCCUGUGCCUCUUUUACUGCCUCCUCUUGUUGGGGAAUAUUGUUUUCGGGUGUGUGACUUUCAUUUACGCUGCAUUUGUCUAACUCUGUGAAGCUGUGUUACUGUGCCUGUGUAAAACACCUGAUUGGUCUAAUAAAGAACUGAACAGCCAAUAGUGAGGCGGGAGCCAGGACAGGCAGGGCCGGUAGGCAGAAAGGAUAAAUCGAAGGCCUUCUGAGAGAAGAACAAGGAGAGGAGGACGGACGUCAGGGGCCAGCCACUUCGCUACACACAGCCAGCCAUGGAAAAAGAAGUAGAGAAAAGUAUACAGAAAUAGAGAAAGAUAAAAGCCCAGAAGCAAAAGGUAGUCAGGAUAAUUUAAGACAAGCUGGCCAGAAACAGGGCAAACAGGCCAGGCAUUAAUAAGCCUCCAUUUGCCUGCAAAUUUCAAGCUGCCAUUGUUUUUUUUUUUGUUGUUGUUGUUUUUUUUUUUUUUUUUUUUUUUUUUACCGCAGGAGUAGUACUCCAUUGUGUAACUGUACCACAUUUUCUUCAUCCAGUCUUUGGUUGAGGGGCAUCUAUGUUGUUUCCAGGUUCUGGCUAUUACAAAUGAUGCUGCUAUGAACAUAGUUGUUCAAAUGUCCUUGUGGUAUGAGUGUGCAUCCUUUGGGUAUGUGCCCAAGAGAGGUAUUGCUGGGUCUUGAGGUAGGUUGAUUCCCAAUUUUCUGAGAAACUGCCAUACUGAUUUCCAAAGUGACUGUACGCUAUGAGCUCACUCAUGAGUGGGUAUUAGACAUAAAGCAAAGGAUAACCAGCCUACAGGCCACAAUCCCAGAGAAGCUAAGAAACAAGGAGGACCCCAAGACAGACAUGUAGACAAUCCUGGGAAGGGGAAAUAGACAAGAUCUCCCAAGUAAGUUGGGAGGGUGGGGGCAGGAGGGAGGAGAACAUAAGGGAGUGGGAUGACUGAGUUGGGGGAAGGACAGAGAAGGAGAGCAAGGAAAGAGAUUUCUUGAUAGAGGGAAACAUUUUGGUGUUAGCAAGAAACCUGGUACUAAGGAAAUUCCCAGGAAUCCACAAGAAUGACCCCAGCUAAGAAUCUAAGCAGUAGUGGAGAGGGGGCCUGAACUGUCUGUCCUUCCCCUGCAAUCAGAUUGAUGAAUACCUUUACUGUCAUCAUAGAGCCUUCAUCCGUAAGUGAUGGAAGCAGAUGCACAGCUAAGCCCUGGGCCAAGCUCCAGGAGUCCAAUCAAAGACAGAGAAGAGAUACUGUGAAUUAAAGGGACAAGACCAUCAUGGGUAAACCCGCAGAAAUAGCUGACCCGAGCUAGUGGGAGCUCGCUGACUCUGGACUGAUGGCUGGGGAACCUGCAUAGAACUGAACUAGGCCCUCUGAAUGUGGGUGACAGUUGUGUGGCUUAGACGGUUGGUAAGGCCACUGGUGGGACUAGUAUUAUCCGUAGUGCAUUCUAGGGGCCCAUUCCCUAUGGAGGGAUACCUUGCUCAGCCUAGAUAUAGGGGGAAGGGCCUUGACCCUGCCUCAAUGUGAUGCAACAGACUUUGUUGACUCCCCACGGGAGACCUCACCCUUUCUGAGGA